GGAAUUGCUAGUAAUCGCGGAUCAGCAUGCCGCGGUGAAUACGUUCUCGGGCCUUGUACACACCGCCCGUCACACCAUGGGAGUCGGUAACACCCGAAGUCUGUAGCCUGACGCAAGAGGGCGCAGCCGAAGGUGGGAUUGAUGACUGGGGUGAAGUCGUAACAAGGUAUC
This 171-nucleotide ribosomal RNA is filed under the name uncultured bacterium. RNAcentral describes it as "partial 16S ribosomal RNA". It matches the Rfam family "Bacterial small subunit ribosomal RNA", at positions 1328 to 1500 of the family's 1533-position model. The record is from RNAcentral.